AAGAAUUGCGUCAGUGGCAGAAGAAACUGCGUGAGGACAAGUACAUCCGAGAGCGAGUCAAAAUAUUCUGGACCAAACAGGAAAAUAAAGUGAAAUGCAGAAUGGAAGAUGAGGAAGAGCCUGCAGCUAAGACGCCACAUCCUUAACCGCAGUUGGUAUCUUUUCCCUUCGGCGCUCCCAUCACCCGACUCAAGGAAAAAAAAGUUCCUUCCUCCAUGUCUUUAAAGACUAGAUUUGGUGCAUUUGAAUACAGAAUCUUUUCUGCACAAGCCAGAAUUUGUUGCAAAUCUGAUUUAGUGCAAAUAGGUUUUCGUAAGGAAGCGCUAGUGUUUUUCUGCAUUACCCCCAGUUUUAUUCUUUCAUCGUGUGUAUCUUCAGUGCUUCAGGAUUCUUGUACACCAGCCACUGUUAAAAUGUACAGUGAACUCUAGUUUCAAGAGAUGUGCAAGUGUUCUAAUUACCACUUUCCCACUUUUGGCCGCCUUUGCAAAGAUUCAUGUUUAAAAUUAAGCCCGAAACCUCUGCAGUGGGUUUUAAGUUUAUCUGGUGACACUCUUUGCAGAAAAAAAAGACACUAUCGCCUGUGGUCAUUUCCCAAGGAGACAAACCUUUAACUUUGACCCAAACCCAACAAGAUAAGACGCUUAAACCCAGACAAUAACAGAUAAGGCAUUUUUAUUGUCUAGGCCUCCAAGGAUUAUAGAAAGUUCCUCAUUUGAUGGGUAAACUGACUUAUUACCCUCAAUUGUUCUGCAGUUUGUUGUGGACAGGGCCUCUCCCAUGCAAAAUGCCACGGACAGCCUCCAGGCAGAUCUGACAGCCAAGUAGUUGGAAGGGGUUGUUUUGACAAGCUACCACACGUCUUAAGAAUAGUAAAGCCUUUAUUUAUUUAUUUAUUUUUCGCGUGUUAAGAACAGCAUUUUGAAAAUAAAACCUAUCUGCCCAUGCUUUACAUUUUUAAAUUUGUAAUGUUUAUAUACAGUCAUCUGUGGUACACAUUGAUUGUCUUGAAAUUUCUUUAACGAUUUUUUUUUUCUUUUUAGAAGUAUGCAACAGUCAGCCAGGUUACAUUAUAAAACACACAUUAAUACAUUUAAUAAAUAUAUAUUAUCUAUCAAAAA
This 1121-nucleotide long non-coding RNA is filed under the name Sus scrofa (pig). RNAcentral describes it as "lncRNA (ENSSSCG00050048258.1)". Lineage: Eukaryota; Metazoa; Chordata; Mammalia; Artiodactyla; Suidae. The record is from RNAcentral.